AACACAAACACAGAAAGGAAAGAAAGGGAACAGGGGGAGCUCGAGGGGAGAAACGGAGAACAGGGAGAGAGUGUGAUGGAACAGAGUAAGAAGAGAGGAAGGAGGAUCGCUAUUGUCUCUGGUAGGUUGUCACUGACGUCGAACAGAACAGGGGAGAGGAGCGCGAAUUGGAAGAGGAAAGGGAGCUCUGUUAUGGGCUCGUUGCCAGGAAAAGAAGAGGCGAUGUUGGUGGGGAUCGCCGCUGGUGUCGUCGCCGUGACUGGGGUUCGUGGUCGCUACUGCUGUUGGUGACGGACUAGGUCGCGUCCUAGCUGCCGGAGCCGCCAUCACCGUGGCUUUGUUACUUUGGGUCAACCAUGUCUCUGCCUUUGAUGUACCUUGUCGUGCCAUAUCCGUUGGAGCUGCCGUGGUUGGAGCUGGCUAUCAGAGAAAACAAUUUGCUGCCACCAUCUUUCAAUCUGGCCAGCAUCAUCCUCUUUGUUCCAGUCCCAAUGCCAAUUUUCUGUUUCUUAAACCUUUGUCAAUUUAUCUCCUGAGAAAUCACAAUUGGUGUUGAGGUCGUUGAUGUUGCUGCUGUUAUGCUGUAGCUAGCUGCAAGAGUUUUACUGCUGCGGGUUAGAAAUUGAUGGUUGCUGCAUCCCAAAAUUCUGUGGAUUUCGAUAAAUCGAGUGACACAGGUUUGAAGACGCAAUUUGAAGCUGCGUGCGAUUAUGACACAGGUUUGAAGACGCAAUUUGAAGCUGCGAGCGAUUAGUAGGUUUUCUUUAUGAUUUUAAUUGCUUUCAUAGAGUCCCCUCGCUCUUGUCCUUUGAGGUUUUUAUUUUAACAGAGGGGUAGGUGUUGUAGUUGGGUUUAUAUGACUUCUUAUGUAUAAGAGUUACUAUUAAUAAUACUUAUAUGAUUGUUAUUAUUAUUUGCAAUGCUUAUCUUUGAUACAUGUCUUUAAUGAAUAAAAACAAAUUUUCUGGAAUUUUCUUAAAACUAAAACGCAAACUUGAUACAAAGGCUCGAUAAGUAAGUAGUUAAUACUAGAGAAGGUUACGUAAUGUUCGUUCUAGUAGAAAUACCCUGACUUAAGCAAGGUAUUUUGCUGGAAGGGAUGUUACAGUUAACACCAUUCAAGCAUAUCCUUGCACAAAAACACCACAGACACAUGCCUUAAGACUCAAACUAUUGGUGCCUAACUUGUUAUUCCUUGUUUCUUUCAUUUUUGUUGCCAACUUUUGGCUUUUCUUUCUUCUAAGGAUGUUUAUUCAUUAAGGUUCCACAAUCAACAGCCAAGAUCCCACUACAAAGAGACAUUCUAUCUUUCAUACAUUAUUAGUGAGCUAGAUACACAAUCAGGCAUAUAUACCACCACUUAAUCUUAUUUUGUUUCCUACUAAAUUGAACAAUUUCACUUUAUGUUUCAAUAAUUUUCUUUUAUUCAAUUGAAAACAAAGAGACAAGACAUACAUUUUAGCAAGAUGAAGUAAAACCAGGCACUCAGACUAGCACUUAAUUAAAAACAUGAAACAAACACAAUUCAAAAGAUUUCAACUUAAAGUGAACAAAACAUGAAGACAUACUCUUUCUUAUUGAUGAACAAAGAGCAACACCACCUUUCAUUCCUUUGGUCGCUUUUCCUUGCUUAAUUCUCCAUUCUUCUUGGGGUCUUGCUUCUUUUUGUUUCUUCUUUCUUCUAGUUAUUUUUCAGUUCCAAACAACUCCUUAUCCCACAGUCCAGAAUCUCUCAAACUUUGCUGCAUCCUUUCUUCAUUUCUUUUACAUCUUGCAAAUUAUGCAUCCAUUGGUUGAAUGACCUUUUCAUAUGCUGGGAUUCUUUGAUUUAGGAAGGGUAUGCUGCCCACUAGGUAGCUAAGCUAUGCUUGAGUGUCUAGAUCAUAUUCCAUCUUAUCCCUUUGCCUAGCUUCUCCAACACUAUGGUGCACAUUCUUCCAGUUAAACAUGUUCAGGAUGUAACCUUGUUGCUCAUCUUGUUGUUUGGACAGCUAGUUGAAAGAUUCUUGAAAUUGUGUAGAUUGUUCUAUUUGCAUAUCCAUGAAUCUUGACUGAAAAUCUUUUUGCUGGUCCAUCAUCCUCAACUGGAGCUCCUCUAGUCUUUCUUGAGCUUUCAUAUAUUGUGAAUGGAACUCUUCUUAUUUUUCUUGAGCUCUUAUAUGCUGUAGGGAUAACCUUUCAAUCACUUCUUGCAUUUGGCUUAUGUCCAUGUUGGGUUGUUCUUGGAAUUGUUGCUCUUCUUCUUGUUCUUCUUGUUCUUCUUCCUGUUGUUCUUCUCCUUGUGGUUCCUCUGUCCUUUGUCUCCUUUGUGGUCUUCGAUGUUGUUGGACAACUGUAACAUUCAUCAUUCUUUCUAAGGUCAUUGGCAUGCCCGGAUUAAGCCAAAUUGGAUUUGCAUCCUCUAGUGGCACCCUGGCUUUUAUGCAUAACCGCAUGAUGGUGCUGGGGUAGUGGAGCCAGGCUUCAGCAGAACUUUUCUCUGAGAUCUUUUGAAUGUCCUUUGCAAUGAUCUCAUGGACUUUUAUCUCCCCUCCUACCAUAAUGCAGUGCAGUAUUGUGGCCCUUUUCUUGUUAACUUCUUGAUGAGAGUGUGUAUUGUUCUAUUCACAAAUAUUGAGAAUUUGGGUGCUACUCAUGUGAGUUAUGAAAAUCAUAUGCAUUGAUUUACUAUGCAUAAAAAAAAGGGGGAGGGGAAUAAGAUCACCCCAAAGUUGAAUUCAAUAAAAAGAUCAAUGCAUAUGAGAUGAAAUAAAAGAACAUUUAAAUACAUGAGUAUGUGAAACAUACAAAAGUGAGAUCAUGGGUAGCUAGGCAUGAUUUUAGAAUUACAUAGAGUGUGUUUAUGUGUUAGGUUAGAACUUAGGUUACUCAAAGAUUCAAUUCAUAGCUCACUUGGCCAUACAUAUAUUCUCACCCUUACUUUAGCCCCAUUAUAACCUUGAAAAGACCUCAUGAUGUUUGCAUUUGUACACUAAAUAUUUGUUGAUUGGUUAGAUGAAUAGCAAAGUUUUAGAGAGCAUGACUAGAAAAGGCUAGAGUGAAUCAACCACUAAACACUUGAGUGACUAGAGCGGAUACACAUCCGGUGAGGGUUCGAUUGCUCAAUCGCAUGUAUUCACCACUAUCUUCUAUGUUCUUGCAAGUUUAUAAAUCCUUUUGAUAAUUCAAUACAAUUUUGGGUUGGAUUUAAUUCAUAUUGCUUUAGCCCUUAUGCUUACAUAUGUUCUCUUAAAGGGUUGAUUUGUUUUGGCCUAAGCAUUUACAUUCAUGAUAAGUAGUUGCAUUUAGAUAAUUUGCAUAUAGUCUAGUUGCAUUGGAUAAAUGUCAUACUCCUUAUUUCGUUCUUAGUUUAGCAUGAGGACAUGCUAAGGUUUAAGUGUGGGGAGGUUGAUAAACCCCAUUUGUCGGGUUUAUCUUGUGCUGAAUCUAGAGUAUUUUGUCAACCUUUCCUCACAUUUACUCAAUGAAAUAGCAUAGUUUUGUGAUUAUCUCAUAAUUUGUGCUUAAGUGUGAAAAUAUGCUUUUAGAUCCUUAAUUUGAUAAUUUUAAUCCCCAUUUGAUUCCACAAGAUGCCUUGAUAUGUUUCUUAGUGAUUUCAGAUUGAAAAGGGCUAGGAAUGGAUCAAAAGAGUGAAGAGAAAGCAUGCAAAAGGGAGAAAUCAUGAAAAGCCAAGGAUUUGGAAUGUGCUCAUGGACGCACGCACGCACAAGACGCGUGUGCGCGGAUCGCGCACUACUCUAGGGACACGUAUGCGUGCUAUGCACGUACGCGUCGAUGUCCACGCUGACACCUUUAAUGAAAUCGCGCCUGGCGAUUUCAGGAGGGCUUCUGGCCCAGUUUUCAAGCGAAUCUUUGGUGGAAAAAUGCUAAAAAAGGCCAAGGACUGAAGGGGGAAGGCAUCCAUCAAUCAUACACUUCUUAUUCACAUAAUUUUAGGUUUUAGAUGUAGUUUUGUAGAGAGAGAGGCUCUCUCCUCUCUCUAAGUUUUAGGGUUUAUCUUCGUUUUAGAUUUAUUUCUUCUCAAUUCCAGGUUCGAUGUUCCUUUAAUUUAGUUCUCUUAUAUUCUUAUUUAUUCUAGUACUUUGGAUUCUCUAUUUUUCCAAUUUAGUUUAUGGAUUC
Arachis stenosperma is the source of this 4119-nucleotide long non-coding RNA. RefSeq lists it as uncharacterized. The record is from RefSeq and is a predicted model, not a curated record. The transcript has 4 exons. NCBI's taxonomy places the organism in Eukaryota, Viridiplantae, Streptophyta, Magnoliopsida, Fabales, Fabaceae.